GCCCAAUGGAAAUCCCGAAUUUCUACAUGCCCUAUUCCAGUCAUUCAUUCAUGUAGCAAGUUGUCCCCCCACCACCACCUCUUUCUCUCUCUUUUCUGGUUUGGACUGCCCACCAUGCAAACUACCAGAUGCUUUGGCAGAGAUUUAAAAUAACAUGGCAGAGUUCAUUGGAUUUUUCACUCAGAAAUGAGCUCUCAAUUUCUUUCUGGCUUUUGAGAAAGUUUUCAAAGCCCCCUAUUAACUCCAGGUGAUGCCGCCUCUAAACCUGAGACAUGUUUCUAUUCCACUUGUAUACACGACUGCUUUCUAAAAUAUAAAUACAACAUUUCGUUCAGUCCUUUGCAACUAUAAAUGUUUAAUGGAGCAUUGUCGCCAUUUACUAGAGAGGGAAACUGAGGCAUUGGAAUGUUCUAUUACACAGCCAAAAUUUUGAGAUUGAAUUUGGAACUGUUGCAAUUUUCAUGAUCACUCACUUCCUUUUUCAUUUAUAUGGUAAUCUGUGUCCACAGAAGUUAGGGAUUACUUUUUGUCUAAGCAAUUGUUUUAGGCUUACAUAAUGAUCAGGUAUGAUAGGCAACUGUGACUUUUAAGGAUUAUGUAAUGAUUGUACCUGCAUUUUUAUAUUUAUGAAGACCAC
RNAcentral lists this long non-coding RNA (637 nucleotides) under Marmota monax (woodchuck). Lineage: Eukaryota; Metazoa; Chordata; Mammalia; Rodentia; Sciuridae. The record is from RNAcentral.